This is a long non-coding RNA of Monodelphis domestica (gray short-tailed opossum), 1333 nucleotides long. RefSeq lists it as uncharacterized. Lineage: Eukaryota; Metazoa; Chordata; Mammalia; Didelphimorphia; Didelphidae. The record is from RefSeq and is a predicted model, not a curated record.
AAUGUGGAGGAGAAAGACCUUGUUUAUAUAUAAAUAAGUUAACAACCAGCAAUUGCUGGGAAAGAGAAAUGGAGAGGAAAAGUAAUGUCUCACAGAUAAGACUUCCUUUUUAAAUGUUAAUUUUUUCAUCUAUCUGACCGUAAACUUCAUCUCUGAAACUUUUUUCCCAUUAUUGUCAUCAUACCUAGAGCACAUAGAGCUGAACGCUAGCUCACUGUGACCUUUCUGAAAUCACAGGCAAUCCUUUCUCUUUGUCAUUCUGAUAAUGGAAUGGAUCAGAUUCUUCCUGAAGACAUUAUAAUAGAGUUCAACUGUCUAUGCUGUACACUAAUGAAAAAUGUUAAACCCAGUGCUUCUCCAGUAUGCACCCCCACAGCACACAGCAGAUGCCCUGCCUAGAGAUGUCCAUAUGGCAUGCUGGUCUCGAUGAUAUUUCCUCUACUGUCAAGGGAGCUGGCUGUAUGGAUGAGCUGUUGUUGAUGCCAUGUGGAGGCUUAGAUAGAAGUAUGUUGAAGGAAAGACUUUUUAUUUGUCCCUUCCAGUCACUACUCAACAAGGCCAACUUGAUAUGUAGGGGAAGGGCUCUACUUUUAAAUGAUGGGAAUACAAAUACAAACAAAAAAAAGAAAAAAAUCACUGUCCUCAGGAGAUUACAUUCUAAUGAAAGAAGAAAUUACAUAAAGGAGCUGAAAACUGGAGCAUAGAACAAGAGAGGAGGAAAAGAGAGAGUAAGUGUCUGGAUAUUAUAUCAAACUUCUUCAAAAUGGAAGAGCUCACCAAUCAGGGAACAAGGUCACAGAAAUGAGGUCUUUUAAAAGAUGAGAAGAAGGCUGCUUUUGCAUGGAGAAGUGUGAAGUGUUUGAAAUAUACUGUAAGUGACUAAUAUCAUAGACUUCAAUAUGAGUAAAAAAAAAGAAAAAGAGGGAGAGGGAAUGAAGUUAUCUGACCUCUAAAUUAUGGGAAAUUGGGCCAUAGAAAAUGCAAUAUUCGGGCAUGAAGAAAACAUUUGUCAAGUCUCAUGGAAUCUAGCUCAAUAAUUUGUUGUUGUUGAAUCUAAGUCAGUCCCCCCAAAAAUGGAGUACAGGCACAGAACUCUCUACUUAAAAUAGAAACAAAGAAUGUGCACUAGAUCAGGAUCCCCAACUGCAACUCAAAACUGAUUAACUCCUAAAUAGCCUCCUGCCUCAGUUGAUUUCCUCUGCACUAUAUCUCUUUUGAAAGGGAGGAAGAAGCUCCUCAUGGUUCUGUCCCUACUGGCUAAAGGCAAAGGUUCUACUGCUUUCCACUUACUACUCACUUUCUUUGCUAAAUACAAGAAAUUUUCCUAACUGCA